UGGGGAAUUUUGGACAAUGGGCGCAAGCCUGAUCCAGCCAUGCCGCGUGCGGGAAGAAGGCCUUCGGGUUGUAAACCGCUUUUGUCAGGGAAGAAAUCUUCUGAGUUAAUACCUCGGGAGGAUGACGGUACCUGAAGAAUAAGCACCGGCUAACUACGUGCCAGCAGCCGCGGUAAUACGUAGGGUGCAAGCGUUAAUCGGAAUUACUGGGCGUAAAGCGUGCGCAGGCGGUUUUGUAAGACAGAGGUGAAAUCCCCGGGCUCAACCUGGGAACUGCCUUUGUGACUGCAAGGCUUGAGUGCGGCAGAGGGGGAUGGAAUUCCGCGUGUAGCAGUGAAAUGCGUAGAUAUGCGGAGGAACACCGAUGGCGAAGGCAAUCCCCUGGGCCUGCACUGACGCUCAUGCACGAAAGCGUGGGGAGCAAACAGGAUUAGAUACCCCUGGUAGUCCACGCCCUAAACGAUGUCAACUGGUUGUUGGGAAGGUUCCUUCUCAGUAACGUAGCUAACGCGUGAAGUUGACCGCCUGGGGAGUACGGCCGCAAGGUUGAAA
RNAcentral lists this ribosomal RNA (552 nucleotides) under uncultured bacterium. Its description in RNAcentral is "partial 16S ribosomal RNA". It matches the Rfam family "Bacterial small subunit ribosomal RNA", at positions 355 to 899 of the family's 1533-position model. The record is from RNAcentral.